GAACGAGGAUAUACCCUUCGGGGUAUAAGCCGAGUGGCGCAAGGGUGAGUAAUGCAUAGAUUACCUGCCUCCGGGAUAAGGACAACUUUGCGAAAACGAAGCUAAUACUUAAUAAUACAAAAGAAAAUAAUUUUCAUUUGUCAAUGGGAGGGUAGCAAUACCUUUUGCCUGGAGAGGGGUUUAUGUCCUAUCAGCUUGUUGGUGGGGUAAUGGCCUACCAAGGCGAUGACGGGUAGCCGGUCUUAGAGGAUGGUCGGCCACACUGGGACUGAGACACUGCCCAGACUUCUACGGAAGGCUGCAGUCGAGAAUCUUCCGCAAUGCCCGAAAGGGUGACGAAGCGACGCCGCGUGAGUGAGGAAGGCCUUCGGGUUGUAAAGCUCUGUCAGGAGUUAAGAAAUAUAAGUGUGCUAAUACCACAUUUAUUUGACAAAAGCUCCAAAGGAAGCCACGGCUAACUCUGUGCCAGCAGCCGCGGUAAUACAGAGGUGGCAAGCGUUGUUCGGAAUUAUUGGGCGUAAAGAGCACGUAGGUGGGUUUGUAAGUCAGAUGUGAAAGCCUUCUGUUCAACGGAAGAAUUGCAUCUGAAACUGCGAGUCUUGAGUGUAGGUGGGGAGAAUGGAACUUCUGGUGGAGCGGUGAAAUGCGUAGAUAUCAGAAGGAACGCCGGCGGCGAAAGCGAUUCUCUGGCCUAUUACUGACACUCAGUGUGCGAAAGCUAGGGGAGCAAACGGGAUUAGAUACCCCGGUAGUCCUAGCUGUAAACGAU
This 769-nucleotide ribosomal RNA is filed under the name uncultured Planctomycetota bacterium. RNAcentral's name for it is "bacterial SSU rRNA". It matches the Rfam family "Bacterial small subunit ribosomal RNA", at positions 64 to 810 of the family's 1533-position model. Lineage: Bacteria; Pseudomonadati; Planctomycetota. The record is from RNAcentral.